Molecule: ribosomal RNA, 253 nt
Filed under: uncultured bacterium
Lineage: Bacteria
Description: partial 16S ribosomal RNA
Rfam family: Bacterial small subunit ribosomal RNA
Source: RNAcentral
UACGAAGGGGGCUAGCGUUGUUCGGAAUUACUGGGCGUAAAGCGCACGCAGGCGGAUCGAUAAGUCAGGGGUGAAAUCCCGGGGCUCAACCUCGGAAUUGCCUUUGAUACUGUCGAUCUCGAGUCCGGGAGAGGUGAGUGGAAUUCCUAGUGUAGAGGUGAAAUUCGUAGAUAUUAGGAAGAACACCAAUGGCGAAGGCAGCUCGCUGGGACGGUACUGACGCUGAGACGCGAAAGCGUGGGGAGCAAACAGG